This is a long non-coding RNA of Gymnogyps californianus (California condor), 573 nucleotides long. RefSeq lists it as uncharacterized. The transcript has 2 exons. The record is from RefSeq and is a predicted model, not a curated record. NCBI's taxonomy places the organism in Eukaryota, Metazoa, Chordata, Aves, Accipitriformes, Cathartidae.
AGCGGCGGAGGGGAACCUCCUUCCGCCGGCUCUGCGUGUUGGCCGGUUGCUGCUGCCCUACCUGAGCAGCCCCCGCCGCGGGGAAGGAAUAUGAGGAAGCCGCGUUGGUUUUAAAUUGCCUUCGGAUGCCCUCGGGACGGCGGAGGAGCCGCUUGCAGAGUGGCGUGUGUUUUACUGGGCAGACGCGAGUUCCAGCUUCCCCCACGGGAAGGGCUGGAAGCGGGGCAGCCGCCUGCCGCGCAGGGAGCUGAUGGCUAAUCUCAUAAAGACCCCAGCUGCAUGGACCCUGCAGAACAUCUCACCCUCCUCGAGCACCCACUGACAUUUGCUGUCUCCAGAAUUGCCCACGGUCAUGAGUGGGCCCUGGCUGCAGCUGCAGCCUCCUCUGCCCUGCCUGUCUGGGCUCCAGCACGAGUGGAGGUCACCACUUCCAGCCUUGGUCCUUCAGCUCAGGGCAUCCGUCAAAGGCAUGCUGGAACCGGGGAACGCUUCAGGGUUUGGGUGUGUGCGUGUUCUGCAAUGCUGUGCUCAUUUUUCCCUUGCUCAUUAAAGAAAUAAAUUGGUAGGCCUGGA